This 253-nucleotide ribosomal RNA is filed under the name uncultured bacterium. RNAcentral's name for it is "partial 16S ribosomal RNA". It matches the Rfam family "Bacterial small subunit ribosomal RNA", at positions 524 to 776 of the family's 1533-position model. The record is from RNAcentral.
UACGAAGGUGGCAAGCGUUACUCGGAAUUACUAGGCGUAAAGGGCAGGUAGGUGGUUUGGCAAGUCUGUUGUGGAAGCUCCCGGCUUAGCUGGGAGAGGCCAACGGAAACUGCCAGACUUGAGUGUAGGAGAGGGUACUGGAAUUCUCGGUGUAGCGGUGAAAUGCGCAGAUAUCGGGAGGAACACCAAUGGCGAAAGCAGGUACCUGGACUAUUACUGACACUAAGCUGCGAAAGCUAGGGGAGCAAACAGG